RNAcentral lists this ribosomal RNA (400 nucleotides) under uncultured bacterium. RNAcentral's name for it is "bacterial SSU rRNA". It matches the Rfam family "Bacterial small subunit ribosomal RNA", at positions 355 to 772 of the family's 1533-position model. The record is from RNAcentral.
UUGGGAAUCUUGCGCAAUGGGGGAAACCCUGACGCAGCGACGCCGCGUGCGGGAAGAAGGUCUUCGGAUCGUAAACCGCUUUUCUACGGGACGAUAAUGACGGUACCGUAGGAAUCAGCACCGGCUAACUCCGUGCCAGCAGCCGCGGUAAUACGGAGGGUGCCAGCGUUGUCCGGAAUUACUGGGCGUAAAGCGCUCGUAGGCGGUCGCGUACGGCAGUGGUGAAAGCUCCCGGCUCAACUGGGAGAUGCCCAUUGCAACGGCGUGACUUGAGGGUGGUAGAGGCAGAUGGAAUUCCUGGUGUAGCGGUGAAAUGCGUAGAGAUCAGGAGGAACACCCAUGGCGAAGGCAGUCUGCUGGGCCACACCUGACGCUGAGGAGCGAAAGCCAGGGGAGCGAA